AACGAACGCUGGCGGCAUGCCUAACACAUGCAAGUCGAACGAUCCCUUCGGGGAUAGUGGCGUACGGGUGCGUAACGCGUGGGAACCUGCCCUUAGGUUCGGAAUAACUCAGAGAAAUUUGAGCUAAUACCGGAUAAUGUCUUCGGACCAAAGAUUUAUCGCCUUUGGAUGGGCCCGCGUUGGAUUAGCUAGUUGGUGGGGUAAAGGCCUACCAAGGCGACGAUCCAUAGCUGGUCUGAGAGGAUGAUCAGCCACACUGGGACUGAGACACGGCCCAGACUCCUACGGGAGGCAGCAGUGGGGAAUAUUGGACAAUGGGCGAAAGCCUGAUCCAGCAAUGCCGCGUGAGUGAUGAAGGCCUUAGGGUUGUAAAGCUCUUUUACCCGGGAUGAUAAUGACAGUACCGGGAGAAUAAGCCCCGGCUAACUCCGUG
Molecule: ribosomal RNA, 433 nt
Filed under: uncultured bacterium
Lineage: Bacteria
Description: partial 16S ribosomal RNA
Rfam family: Bacterial small subunit ribosomal RNA
Source: RNAcentral